This 496-nucleotide ribosomal RNA is filed under the name uncultured bacterium. RNAcentral describes it as "partial 16S ribosomal RNA". It matches the Rfam family "Bacterial small subunit ribosomal RNA", at positions 28 to 506 of the family's 1533-position model. The record is from RNAcentral.
GAUGAACGCUGGCGGCGUGCCUAAUACAUGCAAGUCGAGCGAACGGACGAGAAGCUUGCCGCUCUGAUGUUAGCGGCGGACGGGUGAGUAACACGUGGAUAACCUACCUAUAAGACUGGGAUAACUUCGAGAAACCGGAUCUAAUACCGGAUGAUAUUUUGAACCGCAUGGUGCAAAAGUGAAAGACGGUCUUGCUGUCACGUAUAGCUGCAUCCGCGCUGCAUUAGCUAGUUGGUAAGGUAACGGCUUACCAAGGCAACGAUGCAUAGCCGACCUGAGAGGGUGAUCGGCCACACUGGAAGUGAGCCGCGGUCCAGACUCCUACGGGAGGCAGCAGUAGGGAAUCGUCCGAGCUGGGCGAAAGCCUGACGGAGCAACGCAGCGUGAGUGAUGAAGGUCUUCGGAUCGGAAAACUCUGUUAGUAGGGAAGAACAUAUGUGUAAGUAACUGUGCAUAUCUUGACGGUACCUAAUCAGAAAGCCACGGCUAACUACGU